AUGUACCCCCGUACACGCCAGUUACUCCGCGUUGUCGGCACCUACCUGACGACUGCUCGCUAUGUUUUGUUAGCA
This 75-nucleotide small RNA is filed under the name Xanthomonas campestris. Its description in RNAcentral is "sX9 sRNA". It matches the Rfam family "Xanthomonas sRNA sX9". RNAcentral also lists the same sequence under 6 other names. Lineage: Bacteria; Pseudomonadati; Pseudomonadota; Gammaproteobacteria; Lysobacterales; Lysobacteraceae. The record is from RNAcentral.